Molecule: ribosomal RNA, 480 nt
Filed under: Blastocystis sp.
Lineage: Eukaryota; Bigyra; Opalinata; Blastocystidae
Description: SSU rRNA
Rfam family: Eukaryotic small subunit ribosomal RNA
Source: RNAcentral
GGAGGUAGUGACAAUAAAUCACAAUGCGGGACUAUCAGUCUUGCAAUUGGAUUGAGAACAAUGUACAACUCUUAUCGAUAAGCCAUUGGAGGGCAAGUCUGGUGCCAGCAGCCGCGGUAAUUCCAGCUCCAAUAGCGUAUAUUAACGUUGUUGCAGUUAAAAAGCUCGUAGUUGAAGUGUGGGUGAUCGCUAUUGUGAGACUUCGGUCUCUCGACAGUAAGUCACCCCCUUCCAGUAUCCAGUAGUGGGUAUUCAGUUACUUACUAUUGUGUGUUGGUCAUUUACUGUGAGAAAAUUAGAGUGUUCAAAGCAGGCGUUUGCUUGAAUAGAUUAGCAUGGAAUAAUAAUUGAAGGCUUUCGUGUUCGAUUUGAUUGGUUUGUUCAUGGAAGCAAGGUUAAAAGGAACAGUUGGGGGUAUUCAUAUUCACUAGUUAGAGGUGAAAUUCUCGGAUUUAUGGAAGAUGAACAAGUGCGAAAGCA